GGGCACAUGGUGUAGUUGGUUAUCACAUCCGCUUAGCAUUGAAUGCGCCUGCGGGGGGUGCUGGGUUCAAUUCCCAGUGUGUCCA
Non-coding RNA from Cytidiella melzeri, 85 nucleotides. The record is from the annotation of a GenBank genome assembly. Lineage: Eukaryota; Fungi; Basidiomycota; Agaricomycetes; Polyporales; Irpicaceae.